RNAcentral lists this transfer RNA (72 nucleotides) under bacterium. RNAcentral's name for it is "tRNA-Lys". It matches the Rfam family "tRNA". Rfam says of the family: Transfer RNA (tRNA) molecules are approximately 80 nucleotides in length. Their secondary structure includes four short double-helical elements and three loops (D, anti-codon, and T loops). The record is from RNAcentral.
GCGCCGUUAGCUCAAUGGUAGAGCACCUGACUCUUAAUCAGAUGGUUGGAGGUUCAAGUCCUCCACGGCGUA